UCCGUAGGUGAACCUGCGGAAGGAUCAUUACAGAAAGUAAACGCGGAUCAAACCGCGAACUUUUAAACCUUUGACGAUUGACCCAUGUUGCCUCGGCGGGUUCUCCCGCCAGAGGAUACAUCAAAACUCCUGUUUUAACGGUGUUGUCUGAGCUACAAGCAACGAAUCAAAACUUUCAACAACGGAUCUCUUGGUUCUGGCAUCGAUGAAGAACGCAGCGAAAUGCGAUAAGUAGUGUGAAUUGCAGAAUUCAGUGAAUCAUCGAAUCUUUGAACGCACAUUGCGCCCCUUGGUAUCCCGAGGGGCAUGCCUGUUCGAGCGUCAUUUCACCACUCAAGCCUGGCUUGGUGUUGGGCGACGUCCCCUUCGGGGACGCGCCUCGAAACGCUCGGCGGCGUGGCACCGGCUUUAAGCGUAGCAGAAUCUUUCGCUUUGAAAGUCGAGGCCCCGUCUGCCGGAAGACCUACUCGCAAGGUUGACCUCGGAUCAGGCAGGGAUACCCGCUGAACUUAAGCAUAUCAAUAAGCGGAGGA
RNAcentral lists this ribosomal RNA (533 nucleotides) under uncultured fungus. RNAcentral's name for it is "eukaryotic LSU rRNA". The stretch from base 171 to 324 matches the Rfam family "5.8S ribosomal RNA". The record is from RNAcentral. Lineage: Eukaryota; Fungi.